RNAcentral lists this long non-coding RNA (519 nucleotides) under Monodelphis domestica (gray short-tailed opossum). Its description in RNAcentral is "lncRNA (ENSMODG00000043568.1)". Lineage: Eukaryota; Metazoa; Chordata; Mammalia; Didelphimorphia; Didelphidae. The record is from RNAcentral.
UGCUAAAAAUAAUCACUGUCUGCUCACAACAAAAGAGCAAAGAAGCUCAGUGUGAUGAUGUACCAAAAGAAACCAGUUUGAUUCUUUGUUGAACCAUUUCCUCUCACUUCUCUAUAAGGAGCAGGUUAAUUGUUAUGGUCUGCACUAAAAAGCAAAGAAUCUGGUUAUUUCUUACAAUUUUCCUGAUACUUGUAAAAAGUUGAUCUGACUUUUCCUUUGUAAAGUUUAAGCAAUAUUGAACUUUACUAUUACAGUAAAUAGUUAUCUGUCAUUAUUAGCUCAGGGGACUAUGACUGAGGCAAAGCCAAAGGUUUGAUUGACUGUUUCUUGUGAGGUGAUUGACAGACAUAAAACAGCAAACAACUUUUUAGACACCACAACUGAUGUUACCUCAUGUUUUCUUUCCCCUUCCAUCUUCCCUACCUACCUCUCUUCCCCAUCCUCCCCCACACACACCCAUUAGAUAAUUGCUUGAAACAGGGAAUUGAAGUGGGGAGGGGGUGGGAAACUAGCACUUAA